CCCCUUUGCUUCCUUGUGCUCUGUACAUCAGAAAGCAUCCUUUAGACAAAAGAUCAAUUUAGUGAUAAACAAUAGUCUUUAUAAUGGAUAUAUAACAUAUACUUUACACAGAUGAUUCGGAAUUAGUUGGUUGACUACACAUAUAGGUAGUCAUUUUGCUGCUGCUGCUUUGUUUACUGUUUCAUUGGCAGAUUAUGGCUAUAAUACCCCUGACAUUAGUUUCAUUGGCAAGUCGAGCUUUAGGAGUGUUGGUAGUAUUACAGCCCAAUUAGUUUGCCCUGCAUAAACGCAUCAAACUAUUAGCAAAGGGACACAGGAAACCAAAAUGAAGUUAUGUGAAAGAAACAUUUAAGUACAUGGAGAUCAAGUUGCCGUUAAGGUCCUUCAACAUUGAUAAUCUCACCUUUGGUCAAUGUUUGUUGUUUGCACAGAACCAAUAAGCCAAGUAAGAACCACACCACCAGUAAUGGGACUAAUAAGCACAUUAGCCUGUCAAGCAAGAAUUUGAAAAAUUAGGCUAUUUAGAAAGUAAAAUAAAUGUUCAGAUCGAUGUUGACGAAGCCCAGAUUGCUGGGAAGGGCUGAGGACGGAGCCGUCAGUCAAAGAGGAUGAGAUCGUUCUUGACGACAGUGAGGGAGUGCUUGGCACGGUGAGGGAGGACUGGGUGCUUGGCGCACCAAGGGAGGACUGGGUGCUUGACAGAGAUGGUGUUCUGUCGAUGUGGUUGUCGACGGCGGAGGAGAGGUGAAGAAGUCCCCCUCCCCCCACAUGGGGAAAAGAAUGGGGUUUGAGAAAGAAAUGGAUUUGGGGAAGAAUCGGGAUAUGCAGAACUUUAAGUAGAAGAUUUCGUUUGUGGAAAUUUUUGAAAAUUUUCGUUUGAAAUUGCUUCAAAAUUUUAGCGGAAAGAUUGCCCCCAAAAUUUUGGUCACUUGACCGACGAAAUUUACCAAAUUUGUCGCUUGUGUGUCCAAAUUUUAUUACUUUUCCACGAUCUUACUCAAAUUUAGUAAUUAAACAAAUAUUCAUAAAAAAUAAAUACGAAUGAAAUAAAAUUAUUAUGAGAAAUCAUUCACAUUUAAUAACGAAUCUUUUUUAAUAGAUGCAAUAAAAGUUUACAACAUUAUACUAAAAUUACAUUUAAUGCAAAUUCUAUAAAAAGUUACAUAAUUUACUUUAAUCGGUUAUCAUAAUUAUUGACAUUAUACAUCAUUUUGAUUCUUAUCAAUUUAUAAAAUAUGUUUCAAAAUCAAAACAAUCUUAACACAAAUCGAACAAAAUUCGGUUUGAUUUAUUCUUCAAUCAAUCAUGGUAAUUUACUGAUAAUCAUAAGUGAAGAUAAUUAUGGUUGACCGUUUGGAUCGAGCUCCGGACGUUGCCAAAUCAAGUUGAAUUUUAUACCAUAGCCCUGUUUUACUAUAACGAUCAUAUUAAACGGACGAAUUUUCAUUUUGUGAAUUUUAGUCAUCGGAAUCACAACGUGCCUACUAAUGUUAUAUAACUUGUUUAGUAGGUUAUACAACUUUGUGAAUCAACUAUAUAGAGGAUGCAAAAUUUUUAAAAAUCUCGUGAAAUAAGAUGUGAUCGGAAUGGUGAAAUACAGCUAUGGUUGAAAAAUCACGUUUUUCGGGUAACGUUUGGGUGCCGGUAAAAGCGGUCAACCCUGUUUACACUUAAUCUUCCCAAUGGGAGCCCUAUCUUCGGGAGAUAAACGUCUCCAAAUUUUUAUAUGUGCUGUUACGUCUCAUCUGUGUGAGAGUUUAACGUGUGAAAAAAUCGACCAGACUAGGUCACGGAGAGGUAGGUAAGAGCAUUUCCGUGUGAUAAGUGACGAUGGAUUAUGGUUGACCGUUUCGAUCGAGCCCCGAACAUUGCCGAAUCCAGUUGAAUUUUAUAUCAUAGCCCUGUUUUACCAUAACGAUCAUAUCAGACGGACAAAAUUUUAUUUUGUGAAUUUUAGUCAUCAGAAUCACAACGUGCCUACUAAUGUGGUAUAACUUGUUUAGUAGGUUAUACAACUUUGUGAAUCAACUAUAUAGAGGAAGCAAAAUUUUCAAAAAUCUCAUGAAAUAAGAUAUGAUCAGAAUAGUGAAAUACGACUAUGGUUGAAAAAUCACGUAUUUCGGGUAAUGUUUGGAUGCCGGUAAAAGCGGUCAACCCUUUUUACGCUUAAUCUUCCCAGUGGGAGCCCUAUCUUCGGGAGGUAAACGUCUCUAAAUUUUUAUAUGUGCUGUUACGUCUCAUCUAUGUGAGAGUUUAACGUGCGAAAGAAUCGACCAGACUAAGUCAUGGAGAGGUAGGUAAGAGCGUUUCUGUGUGAUAAGUGACGAUAAAUUAGGGUUAACCGCUUCGAUCGAGCCCCGAACGUUGCCGAAUCCAGUUGAAUUUUAUACAAUAGCCCUAUUUUACCAUAACGAUCAUAUCGGACGGACGAAUUUUCAUUUUGUGAAUUUUAGUCAUCAGAAUCACAACGUGCUUACUAAUAUGGUAUUAUAACUUGUUUAGUAGGUUAUACAACUUUAUGAAUCAACUAUAUAGAGGAAGCAAAAUUUUCAAAAAUCUCGUGAAAUAAGAUGUGAUUAGAAUAGUGAAAUACGACUAUGGUUGAAAAAUCACGUAUUUCGGGUAACGUUUGGGUGCCGGUAAAAGCGGUCAACCCUUUUUACGCUUAAUCUUCCCAAUGGGAGCCCUAUCUUCGGGAGGUAAACGUCUCUAAAUUUUUAUAUGUGCGGUUACGUCUCAUCUAUAUGAGAGUUUAACGUGUGGAAGAAUCGACCAAACUAGGUCACAGAGAGGUAGGUAAGAGCAUUUUCGUGUGAUAAGUGACGAUGGAUUAGGGUUGACCGCUUCGAUCGAGCCCCGGAUGUUACCGAAUCGAAUUGAAUUUUAUACCAUAGGUCUGUGUUACUAUAACGAUCAUAUCAGACGGACGGAUUUUCGUUUUGUGAAUUUUAGUCAUCAGAAUCACAACGUGCCUACUAAUGUGGUAUAACUAGUUUAGUAGGUUAUAUACAGGUGUACAACUUUGUGAACCAACUAUAGAGACGAAGCAAAAUUUUCAAAAAUCUCGUGAAAUAAGAUGUGAUCAGAACAGUGAAAUACGACUAUGAUUGAAAAAUCACGUAUUUCGGAUAACAUUUGGAUCCUAAUAAAAAUGAUCAACCAUUUUUACGCUUAAUCUUCCCUAUGAGGAGCCCUAUUGUCAGGGGUUAAACGUUUUCAAAUUUUUAUAUAUGUGGUUACGUCUUAUCUAUGUAAGAGUGUGUGGGUAGAAAUCAACAAAAAUGGGUCACAGAAGGAUAGGUAACAACGUAUUCGCAUGAUAAGUGACGUGAAACUAAAGUUGACCGCUUAGAUCGAGCCCUGAAUUUACAAUCAUUCCCCGGAUAAUGAUUU
RNAcentral lists this long non-coding RNA (3393 nucleotides) under Fragaria vesca (wild strawberry). RNAcentral describes it as "long non-coding RNA (FVES_LNC000616)". The record is from RNAcentral. Lineage: Eukaryota; Viridiplantae; Streptophyta; Magnoliopsida; Rosales; Rosaceae.